GGACCCGCACAAGUAGUGGAGCAUGUGGUUUAAUUCGAAGAUACGCGAAGAACCUUACCAGGGUUUGACAUCCUGCGAAUCUCUUGGAAACUUGAGAGUGCCUUCGGGAGCGCAGUGACAGGUGGUGCAUGGCUGUCGUCAGCUCGUGUCGUGAGAUGUUGGGUUAAGUCCCGCAACGAGCGCAACCCACGUCUUUAGUUGCCAGCAUUUAGUUGGGCACUCUAGCGAGACCGCCGGUGAUAAACCGGAGGAAGGUGUGGAUGACGUCAAGUCAUCAUGCCCCUUACAUCCUGGGCUACACACGUACUACAAUGCUACGGACAAAGGGCAGCAAACUCGCGAGAGCUAGCAAAUCCCAUAAACCGUGGCUCAGUUCAGAUCGUAGGCUGCAACUCGCCUACGUG
This 404-nucleotide ribosomal RNA is filed under the name uncultured bacterium. RNAcentral's name for it is "bacterial SSU rRNA". It matches the Rfam family "Bacterial small subunit ribosomal RNA", at positions 917 to 1322 of the family's 1533-position model. The record is from RNAcentral.